AUGGGCUUUUCUGGUCAAAACGUAUCUUGUCUUUAUCACUUUAUCAUGAGUUAUUUUCCUUGGUUAACAAUACUUGUUGUUUUGCCGAUAUUUGCAGGUUCAUUAAUUUUCUUUUUACCUCAUAAGGGAAACAAAGUCGUUAGGUGGUAUACUAUAUCUAUUUGUUUAUUAGAAUUCCUUCUAAUGACUUAUGCGUUCUGUUAUCAUUUCCAACUGGAGGAUCCCUUAAUCCAAUUAAAGGAGGAUUAUAAAUGGAUAGAUGUCUUCGAUUUCCACUGGAGAUUGGGAAUCGAUGGACUUUCAUUAGGAUCUAUUUUAUUGACAGGAUUUAUCACUACUUUAGCUACUUUAGCAGCUUGGCCAAUUACACGGAAUUCGCGAUUAUUCUAUUUCCUGAUGCUCGCAAUGUAUAGUGGUCAAAUAGGAUUAUUUUCUUCGCGAGACCUUUUACUUUUUUUUAUCAUGUGGGAGUUAGAAUUAAUUCCUGUUUACUUACUUUUAUCCAUGUGGGGGGGGGGAAGAGGCGUCUAUAUUCAGCUACAAAGUUUAUUUUGUAUACUGCAGGCGGUUCCAUUUUUUUCUUAA
Molecule: ribosomal RNA, 585 nt
Filed under: Triticum aestivum (bread wheat)
Lineage: Eukaryota; Viridiplantae; Streptophyta; Magnoliopsida; Poales; Poaceae
Description: partial small subunit ribosomal RNA
Source: RNAcentral